CCCUUCGGGGUGCCCAGGCGCGAAAACUUUACAAUGCUGGCAACAGCGAUAAGGGGACCUCGAGUGCCAGGAUACAAUCUUGGCUGUCGCGAUGCCUAAAAAGCAUUGCAUAGCAAGGGCCGGGCAAGACCGGUGCCAGCCGCCGCGGUAACACCGGCGGCUCGAGUGGUAACCGCUAUUAUUGGGUCUAAAGGGUCUGUAGCCGGCCGGAUAAGUCUUUUGGGAAAUCCAGCUGCUCAACAGUUGGGCUUUCAGAAGAUACUGUUCGGCUCGAGACCGGGAGAGGUGAGAGGUACUUCAGGGGUAGGGGUGAAAUCUUGUAAUCCUUGAAGGACCACCAGUGGCGAAGGCGUCUCACCAGAACGGAUCUGACGGCAAGGGACGAAAGCUAGGGGCACGAACCGGAUUAGAUACCCGGGUAGUCCUAGCCGUAAACGAUACUCGCUAGGUGUCAGCCACGGUGCGACCGUGGUUGGUGCCGUAGGGAAGCCGUGAAGCGAGCCACCUGGGAAGUACGGCCGCAAGGCUGAAACUUAAAGGAAUUGGCGGGGGAGCAC
This 557-nucleotide ribosomal RNA is filed under the name uncultured archaeon. RNAcentral's name for it is "bacterial SSU rRNA". It matches the Rfam family "Archaeal small subunit ribosomal RNA", at positions 321 to 879 of the family's 1478-position model. The record is from RNAcentral.